GAUGAAGAACGCAGCGAAAUGCGAUAAGUAAUGCGAAUUGCAGAAUUCAGUGAAUCAUCGAAUCUUUGAACGCACAUUGCGCCCGCCAGUAUUCUGGCGGGCAUGCCUGUCUGAGCGUCGUUUCGACCCUCGCGCCCGGCUUCUGUCGGGGGCGGUGUUGGGGAUCGGCCACACCCUUCAGUGGGAGGCCGGCCCCUAAAUUCAGUGGCGACCACGCUGUAGCCUCCCCUGCGUAGUACUAAAACCACCUCGCAGGCGGAGAGCGGUGCGGCCCGCCGUAAAACCCCCCAACAACUUUUACAAGGUCGACCUCAGAUCAGGUAGGAAUACCCGCUGAACUUAAGCAUAUCAAUAAGCGGAGGA
RNAcentral lists this unclassified non-coding RNA (363 nucleotides) under soil metagenome. RNAcentral's name for it is "partial contains 5.8S ribosomal RNA, internal transcribed spacer 2, and large subunit ribosomal RNA". The stretch from base 1 to 120 matches the Rfam family "5.8S ribosomal RNA", at positions 35 to 154 of the family's 154-position model. The record is from RNAcentral.